AAAGAUAUAGCUCAGUGGUAGAGUGCUUGCCUAACAUGCAUGAGGCCCUGAGUUCAAUCCCCAGUUCCUAGA
RNAcentral lists this transfer RNA (72 nucleotides) under Ictidomys tridecemlineatus (thirteen-lined ground squirrel). RNAcentral's name for it is "Spermophilus tridecemlineatus (thirteen-lined ground squirrel) tRNA". It matches the Rfam family "tRNA". From Rfam's summary of the family: Transfer RNA (tRNA) molecules are approximately 80 nucleotides in length. The record is from Rfam by way of RNAcentral. Lineage: Eukaryota; Metazoa; Chordata; Mammalia; Rodentia; Sciuridae.